RNAcentral lists this ribosomal RNA (66 nucleotides) under Craterellus excelsus. RNAcentral describes it as "partial 18S ribosomal RNA". It matches the Rfam family "Eukaryotic small subunit ribosomal RNA". The record is from RNAcentral. Lineage: Eukaryota; Fungi; Basidiomycota; Agaricomycetes; Cantharellales; Hydnaceae.
CUUGGUCAUUUAGAGGAAGUAAAAGUCGUAACAAGGUUUCYGUAGGUGAACCUGYGGAAGGAUCAU